This 474-nucleotide ribosomal RNA is filed under the name uncultured bacterium. RNAcentral describes it as "bacterial SSU rRNA". It matches the Rfam family "Bacterial small subunit ribosomal RNA", at positions 335 to 801 of the family's 1533-position model. The record is from RNAcentral.
ACUCCUACGGGAGGCAGCAGUAGGGGAAUCUUCCACAAUGGGCGCAAGCCUGAUGGAGCAACACCGCGUGAGUGAAGAAGGGUUUCAGCUCGUAAAGCUCUGUUGUUAAAGAAGAACACGUAUGAGAGUAACUGUUCAUACGUUGACGGUAUUUAACCAGAAAGUCACGGCUAACUACGUGCCAGCAGCCGCGGUAAUACGUAGGUGGCAAGCGUUAUCCGGAUUUAUUGGGCGUAAAGAGAGUGCAGGCGGUUUUCUAAGUCUGAUGUGAAAGCCUUCGGCUUAACCGGAGAAGUGCAUCGGAAACUGGAUAACUUGAGUGCAGAAGAGGGUAGUGGAACUCCAUGUGUAGCGGUGGAAUGCGUAGAUAUAUGGAAGAACACCAGUGGCGAAGGCGGCUACCUGGUCUGCAACUGACGCUGAGACUCGAAAGCAUGGGUAGCGAACAGGAUUAGAUACCCUGGUAGGAUAGCG